This 689-nucleotide long non-coding RNA is filed under the name Ananas comosus (pineapple). RNAcentral's name for it is "long non-coding RNA (ACOM_LNC017538)". The record is from RNAcentral. Lineage: Eukaryota; Viridiplantae; Streptophyta; Magnoliopsida; Poales; Bromeliaceae.
CGUUAAACAUGAUCUAAACUAUUUAAACUAUCUGGAAAUCAAAUUUCACACAUUUUCGAUACUGUUCUCUUGUCCAUCAAGUGAACAGAAAAAUGAAUGGCUGGAAAUGAAUAUUCUUCAAAAAAUGAUGAUACAAUUUUUAUAUUUGAGAUCUAGAGUCUAGAUCUUAUUUUAAAUAGUUUAAAGAAUUUUUUAACAAAAAAUUAAUUGAUUUGAACUCUUCUAUACCGUUAAACGAGCAACCGCACCAUAUCUGCUAUUAAAAUUAUAGAUUUUGUGACCCUUUGAUCGUUCAGUUAGUGAUGUCAAAAAAUCAUGAAAAUUGAUUUCUAGAUAAUUUAAAUGGUCUAGAUCAUGUUCAACGGUGCCGAUCGUCGAUUUGGAAGCUCUAUCAUCAAAAACAAAUCGGUAAUAAACCGAACAGUUUACUACCGAUAGUAGCCCAGUCAAACUCUAUAUAUAUAUAUAUAUAUGUCCAAAUAUAAACAUUACAUGUAGGAGCUUUAUUGAGAACUUUGAUGCCAAAGUUUGGACAAUAAGUAUAUAUACAUUCGCGACUUAAUUAGAUGCUGGGUCUCCGACUAGUUAUGCAUUUCGCCCUGUUCUAAACUAAAGGCUCUUUAAAUGUUAUGGACUAUGUCUAUCGAGUUACAUUUCAUUUCAAGAGCAUAUCAUUGCAUGAAGGUAUA